Molecule: ribosomal RNA, 781 nt
Filed under: uncultured bacterium
Lineage: Bacteria
Description: bacterial SSU rRNA
Rfam family: Bacterial small subunit ribosomal RNA
Source: RNAcentral
CGACGGAGAUAUCCGCUGAUGAAUACUUCGGUAAUGAUUCUUGGAUAUCUUAGUGGCGGACGGGUGAGUAACGCGUGAGCAACCUGCCUUUCAGAGGGGGAUAACGUUUGGAAACGAACGCUAAUACCGCAUGAUAUUAUUGAGCUGCAUGGCUUGAUAAUCAAAGGAGCAAUCCGCUGAAAGAUGGGCUCGCGUCCGAUUAGGUAGUUGGCGGGCAACGGCCCACCAAGCCGACGAUCGGUAGCCGGACUGAGAGGUUGAACGGCCACAUUGGGACUGAGACACGGCCCAGACUCCUACGGGAGGCAGCAGUGAGGGAUAUUGGUCAAUGGGGGAAACCCUGAACCAGCAACGCUGCGUGAGGGAAGACGGUUUUCGGAUUGUAAACCUCUGUCCUCUGUGAAGAUGAUGACGGUAGCAGAGGAGGAAGCUCCGGCUAACUACGUGCCAGCAGCCGCGGUAAUACGUAGGGAGCAAGCGUUGUCCGGAUUUACUGGGUGUAAAGGGUGCGUAGGCGGCUUUGCAAGUCAGAAGUGAAAUCCAUGGGCUUAACCCAUGAACUGCUUUUGAAACUGCAGAGCUUGAGUGGAGUAGAGGUAGGCGGAAUUCCCGGUGUAGCGGUGAAAUGCGUAGAGAUCGGGAGGAACACCAGUGGCGAAGGCGGCCUGCUGGGCUCUAACUGACGCUGAGGCACGAAAGCGUGGGUAGCAAACAGGAUUAGAUACCCUGGUAGUCCACGCUGUAAACGAUGAUUACUAGGUGUGGGUGGACUGACCCCAUC